This 158-nucleotide non-coding RNA is filed under the name Rubellimicrobium sp. Its description in RNAcentral is "6S RNA". It matches the Rfam family "6S / SsrS RNA". Rfam says of the family: E. coli 6S RNA was the first non coding RNA to be sequenced, but its function was unknown until recently. It consists of 184 nucleotides that fold into an extended hairpin structure with a large single-stranded internal bulge. The record is from RNAcentral. Lineage: Bacteria; Pseudomonadati; Pseudomonadota; Alphaproteobacteria; Rhodobacterales; Roseobacteraceae.
GGGUUUCUGCUCUUCUCGUGUCCGGCUGCAUCUUUCCAGUGGCCGUAACCAACUCCGAGGGAGCUGGCUCUGUCCGGGCCCUGGCCCGGUUAUCUGGCGCCCACCUGUACAUGCAGGUCCUCGGGAAUCAUCAGCCCCACGGAUGCAGCGGUUCCCGC